ACGGAGGAAUGACUUGGAAAGAUGUGCCCAUAGAGUCACAUUUUCAAAAAGGUACUGAAGUUUGGUUUGUGAGCUAUUUGAGCCACCGAGUGCUUUUUGACGUUAAGAUUCAUUGCUGUGUGAAUUACGAAGCCUGUUUCGGUCAAGGGACCAAACUGACGGUUUUAGAACCAGGCCAUGACAUCACACCGCCAGAACGCGUAUCAGUGUUUAAACCAAAGGGGUGCAAAAACAAGAAGGUGACAUUGGUGUGCGUGGCCUCGGGUUUCUAUCCAGACCACGUCACUGUGUCCUGGAACAUCAAUCAGGACAAAGACACUAAAAAUGUGGCGACCGACGCCAUCGCCCUGCGGGAAGGUAAAUAUUACAGCAUCACCAGCAGGCUGAAGGUCACGGACAGCAUGUGGUUCACAAGGAGCAACAAGUUCACCUGUGUGGUCGAUUUCUUCAACGGAACAGCAACAAAAUCAUAUAAUGGGUCAAUUUACGGUGAAGUGAAAAGAACAAACCUGGCAACAGGUAUCAGAAGCGUCACACGAGAUGAGUACGUGAGGGUCAUGCAGAUGGCCAAACUCUCCUACUGUGUGUUCAUCUUCAAGAGCUGCAUCUACGGAGGCUUUGUGGCCUUUUUGGUCUUGAACCAUCAGAGUGUCACUGGAAAGCAGUCCGACUGAGAGCUGUGAUCAAGCCCCCAAAAAAAGGUUAAACUGCUGUAAACAGGAUUUAAAAUAAAGCACUUAUAUGUCAUCAGUGAAGUUUGUGUUCAGUGUGAAAUCUGCCAAAUUCUGCGUGCAGUUAAAGAACAAUGUUAAGUGUGUACAUGCUGCAAUAUGUGCCUGCACAUUGUAAAAGUGAUCAGGGCAAUUCAACUUCAAAACUUAAGUUAAAUUACUUCCUUAAAAAAACGUAAGUAAGCUCAACUUCAAGAAAAGCUUUUAUUCAGCUCAGGAAGGUAAGUUAGAUAAGUUGGCAACUUUUCUAACUUACCAAACUGAGUUGAAUAAAUGAUGUUUUUUAAGGCAGCAGUUGAAUUUAAGUUUUUAAGUUGAAUUGCCCUGAUUGUUUUUACAGUGUAAUGAUUCCGUGCUUCUGGUUGUGAAGUGCUUUUUGUAGAAUUAUAUUUUUAAAUAAAGUAUUUUGAGGAGUAUUG
Thalassophryne amazonica is the source of this 1150-nucleotide non-coding RNA. The record is from the annotation of a RefSeq genome assembly. NCBI's taxonomy places the organism in Eukaryota, Metazoa, Chordata, Actinopteri, Batrachoidiformes, Batrachoididae.